Molecule: ribosomal RNA, 472 nt
Filed under: uncultured bacterium
Lineage: Bacteria
Description: bacterial SSU rRNA
Rfam family: Bacterial small subunit ribosomal RNA
Source: RNAcentral
UGGGGAAUAUUGGACAAUGGGCGCAAGCCUGAUCCAGCCAUACCGCGUGAGUGAAGAAGGCCUUCGGGUUGUAAAGCUCUUUCAGACGGAAAGAAACGGUUACGGCUAAUACCCGUGACUAAUGACGGUACCGUAAGAAGAAGCACCGGCUAACUACGUGCCAGCAGCCGCGGUAAUACGUAGGGUGCGAGCGUUAAUCGGAAUUACUGGGCGUAAAGCGUGCGCAGGCGGUUUGGUAAGACAGAUGUGAAAUCCCCGGGCUUAACCUGGGAACUGCAUUUGUGACUGCCAGACUAGAGUGUAGCAGAGGGGGGUAGAAUUCCACGUGUAGCAGUGAAAUGCGUAGAUAUGCGGAGGAACACCGAUGGCGAAGGCAAUCCCCUGGACCUGUACUGACGCUCAUGCACGAAAGCGUGGGGAGCAAACAGGAUUAGAUACCCAGGUAGUCCCUGAGCGGGCUGGCAAGGCGCAU